Molecule: ribosomal RNA, 506 nt
Filed under: uncultured bacterium
Lineage: Bacteria
Description: partial 16S ribosomal RNA
Rfam family: Bacterial small subunit ribosomal RNA
Source: RNAcentral
GGUGAACGCUGGCGGUAGGCCUAACACAUGCAAGUCGAACGGCAGCACAGGAGAGCUUGCUCUCUGGGUGGCGAGUGGCGGACGGGUGAGGAAUACAUCGGAAUCUACUUUUUCGUGGGGGAUAACGUAGGGAAACUUACGCUAAUACCGCAUACGACCUACGGGUGAAAGCAGGGGACCUUCGGGCCUUGCGCGAUUGAAUGAGCCGAUGUCGGAUUAGCUAGUUGGCGGGGUAAAGGCCCAUCAAGGCGACGAUCCGUAGCUGGUCUGAGAGGAUGAUCAGCCACACUGGAACUGAGACACGGUCCAGACUCCUACGGGAGGCAGCAGUGGGGAAUAUUGGACAAUGGGCGCAAGCCUGAUCCAGCCAUACCGCGUGGGUGAAGAAGGCCUUCGGGUUGUAAAGCCCUUUUGUUGGGAAAGAAAUCCAGCUGGCUAAUACCCGGUUGGGGUGACGGUACCCAAAGAAUAAGCACCGGCUAACUUCGUGCCAGCCGCCGCGGUAA